UGAGCCAUUAGCUCAGUUGGUAGAGCAUCUGACUUUUAAUCAGAGGGUCGAUGGUUCGAGCCCAUCAUGGCUCAUC
This 76-nucleotide transfer RNA is filed under the name Listeria fleischmannii subsp. coloradonensis. Its description in RNAcentral is "tRNA-Lys(ttt)". It matches the Rfam family "tRNA". From Rfam's summary of the family: Transfer RNA (tRNA) molecules are approximately 80 nucleotides in length. Their secondary structure includes four short double-helical elements and three loops (D, anti-codon, and T loops). Further hydrogen bonds mediate the characteristic L-shaped molecular structure. tRNAs have two regions of fundamental functional importance: the anti-codon, which is responsible for specific mRNA codon recognition, and the 3' end, to which the tRNAs corresponding amino acid is attached (by aminoacyl-tRNA synthetases). tRNAs cope with the degeneracy of the genetic code in two manners: having more than one tRNA (with a specific anti-codon) for a particular amino acid; and 'wobble' base-pairing, i.e. permitting non-standard base-pairing at the 3rd anti-codon position. The record is from RNAcentral. Lineage: Bacteria; Bacillati; Bacillota; Bacilli; Caryophanales; Listeriaceae. RNAcentral also lists the same sequence under 1 other name.